Non-coding RNA from Mustela putorius furo (domestic ferret), 245 nucleotides. Lineage: Eukaryota; Metazoa; Chordata; Mammalia; Carnivora; Mustelidae. The record is from Rfam.
GGAUGUGAGGGUGAGUGGGCUGGCCAGGCAGGUGUCCCCACUCUUCCCUCAUCGCUCACGUGUGUCCCUCUGGAAGCUGCAGGGUCGGUUGAAGAGGACGUCUGUCCUUCAGUCAAAGAGGUAUGAAGAGUUGUGCUCCUCUGCUGGAACCUCCAAACAAGCUCUCAAGUAAGCCAAUAGUUGAGGCAAGUUACAAAAACAUCUUUAAAAGCAUCUGGCCAGAGGGGUGCCUGGCUGGCUCAGUU